This 1255-nucleotide ribosomal RNA is filed under the name Ixodes vespertilionis. RNAcentral describes it as "16S ribosomal RNA". Lineage: Eukaryota; Metazoa; Arthropoda; Arachnida; Ixodida; Ixodidae. The record is from RNAcentral.
UUUUAAUUUUUAAUUAUAUUAUUUAUUUAUAGAGAUUAUAAAAAAGGAUUAUAUUAUAAUGUAUUAUUUUAGAAAAAAAUUGGUUAUUUACUGUGAAGGAUGAUUGAAAAUUGUGAAAAAUUAAAAUUGAAAAAGUAUUUAUAAGUACCUUUUGCAUUAGGGUUUUUUAAAGAAAUUAAAAUAUUUUAAUUUCCCGAAGUUAAAAUGAUUUAUUAAAAUAUAGGUUUUCUGUAGAAAUAGAAAUUAUUAAUAUUUUGAUAGAAAUGAAAUUUUAUUCAUAUUUAAGGGUAUCUGGUUAUAAUAAUAAUGAUUAUAUAUCUAUCUAUUUUUUAUUUAUAUUUAAAUAGGUAAAUAGAAACGAUCUAUUGGGAUAAGCUUAUGGAUUUUCUUUUAAAUAUUUAAAAAAUUUAAUAAUAAGGUAUAAAAUUUUCUUAAUCUUUUAAUAAAGAAUUUUUUUUUGUAUAAUAUUAAUUUAUUUAAGGUUUAUUUGUGAUUUUAUUAAUUUUAAUAUAUUAAAAAAAUAAAAUAAUUAGUAAAAUUGAAUUUUGAAGGAGUUUUUUUAAGGUUUUUUAAAUGUAUUUUGCUAAAUUAAAUUAAAGGAAUUAGGCAAAAGAUUAGGGUUGACUGUUUAACAAAAACAUUUCAUUUUGAAUUAAUAAAAUGUAAAACCUGCUCAAUGAUUAAUUAAAUUGCUGUGGUAUUUUGACUAUACGAAGGUAUUGAAAUAAGGCUUUAAAUGAGUGCUAAGAGAAUGGUUUAACAAUUCUAAGCUUUCUUUAAUUAAUAAAUUGAAUUUAAUUUUUUUGUGAAGAAGCAAAAAUUUAAAUUAGGGACAAGAAGACCCUAUGAAUUUUGAAUUAGAUUUUAUGAUUUAAAUAGAGUUAUAUUGUUUAAAUUAAUUGGGGUGAUUAGAAAAGAAUAUAUAUCUUUUUUUAAGUAAUUAAUUUGUUCCGUUUUUAACGAUUUUAUGAUAAAAAUACUCUAGGGAUAACAGCGUAAUAAUUUUGGAUAGUUCAUAUAGAUAAAAUAGUUUGCGACCUCGAUGUUGGAUUAGGAUUCUUUUUUAAUGAAGAAAUUAAAGAUAAGAAGUUUGUUCAACUUUUAAAUUCCUACAUGAUCUGAGUUCAGACCGGCGUGAGCCAGGUUGGUUUCUAUCUUAAUUUUGAGUAUUUAUUUUUUUAGUACGAAAGGAAUAGAAAAUAUUAAUUAAAUUAAUAAUAAAAAUAUUAUUUUUAAACUAAUUUGGCAGAAAAUA